CCUAGCCGAAGGCCUCAUUUCACAAACAUAUCUCACACAAUUAAUUGGACAAACAACAUUAUAUGGAGAUAAAAAUUAGCCCUUAAAGCCACGGGAGGCGCUCGAUCCAACAACAAAGUUCGACAAUUCUGGUGACACUCACAGUCAUGCACGGUUGUCAGCCGGUUCACCUUACCUAGGUGCUCAAAUUCAUGGUGAGACAUCAUCCAAAGCUCUUCGCAUUGAUAUAGGUCUACAGUCUACUCCGAAAGCAAAAUGAUUUGGAAUGACGGUUUUGGAAUGAUUUUUCACAAAAUUUGCAAAACAUAACCCGUCAGCAACAUCAAACAAUUACGGGUAUACCAUCAAUUGAAUUCAAUUUGAAUCACAAAUUGCUCUAGUUUUGGCUUCAAAUUUACCUAAUUCAACAUGCAAAUGACGUUCCAGUUUCUUCCAAUUUUCUAUUGAAUUUGAUUUGAUUUCUGAUUUUGAUAUUUGGGUGUGGCGACUGCCUUUUUCAAGGCAAUGUUGAUUUUGUGGGUAGUGAUGGCGGUGGCGAUUGGCGUUGUGUCCUACCAGUGUAGGCGAGUGUUGAGAAAGAAGGAAGUAUCGAUUGCCGAUCAUCAGCCUUUCUAUUUUUUCAUGACGGUGGGGUGGGUAAUUCUUUUAUUUUUGGGGUUAUUUAUUUAAUUAUUUUAUGUAAAAAAUGUAAAAUUAUCAUUUUGUCCUUUCAAAAUUCGUUAAAAUUGCGAUCAAGGCCAAUUGUUUGGCUAACUAAUGGUUAAGUGAAUGAUUUCCAUCCAUUUAGACAUCUAUUGCAUAUUUAUGAAAUGUUAUGAAUAUUUGUUGUCACAAAUUAAAUGUUAAGGUAAAUUUUGAAAAAAUUGAAAAGAUUAAGGACCUCUAUUGCAAUUUUCCCAAAAUUAAAGUAUCCAUUCUUUCUUGCUAGUUGCUCCAUUAAGUCUCUAUUUUACAAUCUUUAUUUGAAAACCCUUUUUUUAAAUGCUCAUUUUUAAUCAUAUAAUCACACAAUAAUACUUCUUGCAGUAAAUUCAAAAUUAUUUUUGUACAUUUUAAAUGCAAAAUUUUCAAAAAUUUACUAUUCAAAAUAUUAUUUUUUCUAAG
Molecule: long non-coding RNA, 1104 nt
Filed under: Olea europaea subsp. europaea
Lineage: Eukaryota; Viridiplantae; Streptophyta; Magnoliopsida; Lamiales; Oleaceae
Source: RNAcentral